CGGAACGGGUGAGUAACGCGUGAGGAACCUGCCACAAAGAGGGGGACAACAGUUGGAAACGACUGCUAAUACCGCAUAAGCCCACGGCUCGGCAUCGAGCAGAGGGAAAAGGAGCAAUCCGCUUUGAGAUGGCCUCGCGUCCGAUUAGCUAGUUGGUGAGGUAACGGCCCACCAAGGCGACGAUCGGUAGCCGGACUGAGAGGUUGAACGGCCACAUUGGGACUGAGACACGGCCCAG
RNAcentral lists this ribosomal RNA (238 nucleotides) under uncultured bacterium. RNAcentral describes it as "partial 16S ribosomal RNA". It matches the Rfam family "Bacterial small subunit ribosomal RNA", at positions 100 to 334 of the family's 1533-position model. The record is from RNAcentral.